AGAUUAAACUAAAGAGUUUGAUCCUGGCUCAGAUUGAACGCUGGCGGCAUGCCUUACACAUGCAAGUCGAACGGCAGCACGGAGCUUGCUCUGGUGGCGAGUGGCGAACGG
This 111-nucleotide ribosomal RNA is filed under the name Duganella alba. RNAcentral describes it as "partial 16S ribosomal RNA". It matches the Rfam family "Bacterial small subunit ribosomal RNA", at positions 1 to 105 of the family's 1533-position model. RNAcentral also lists the same sequence under 1 other name. The record is from RNAcentral. Lineage: Bacteria; Pseudomonadati; Pseudomonadota; Betaproteobacteria; Burkholderiales; Oxalobacteraceae.